CUUAUAGUAUAGAGAUAAGCAUCUAUCAUGCUAGCUUGCGCCAAAUUAUAACAAAACUUGUUGUACUCAAUAUCAAGCUCAUUAUUUUAACUGAACACAACAAAUUAAACCAAUUCAUUUUCAUUUCUAAAUUAAAGAAACACUGAUUAAACAUAACAACUACUCAGUUAAGAAUAUAUUAACACGCAAACAAUAAAAUCAAACAAGAGAACCUUUCAUAAAGUCCUUCACUCGGCAGCAAACUAAAGAAAACAAGUUUGGAAGAAGGAAGAGAAAUUGGACCUUAGUUUAACUAAAAAUUGAUGCAAACCAGUACAACAAUGAACUCCACCCACUCGACUUCAAACUGAAAAUAAGCAUCGCGACAAAAACUCCACCAGAAAACAACAAACGACACCCUCGCCAACAACCUCAAAUCUUGGAUGAACUAUUUUUUUGGGACUGCUUCGCGACUGUUCCUCGGCGAAAGAAGUUGCGUUUGAGCCACUGUUUACGAAUGGUUUUGGUGAUGAAGGCUGCUGGUUUUUGUUGGGGUUAAUAAAGUUGGUCUGUCGAGUUUGGGGUGGAGAUGUGGUCGAUAGCUACUAGUUCAGGAAGUGGUUGUUGUUUUUGCUUCAACAGCAACAUCGAAGAUGGCUGCUUCUUCUUUAUAGAUCCAUUUUGUUGAAGAAGAGACCAAAGUCUUACGCCUUAGGUCAUUGUUUUGCUGGAGAAAAAUCCAAAUCGUGUGAAGAAGAAGGCGGACUAGUUAUGUGUAGAGUCUAGGGUCUAAGUCAUUAAGCUGUAGGCCCCUUUAUAGUCUACCGUCUAAGUCUAGUGUUUUAGGGGUAUUGAACUUCAGCAUUAUAUGGCUGAACAAUUUUUUUGGGACUGCUUCGCGACUGUUUCUCGGCGAAAGAAGUAGCGUUUGAGCCACUGUUUACGAAUGGUUUUGGUGAUGAAGGCUGCUGGUUUUUGUUGGGGAGAAGAACGUUGGUCUGUCGAUAGCUACUAGUUCAGGAAGUGGUCGUUGUUUUUGCUUCAAUAACAACAUCGAAGAUGGCUGCUUCUUCUUUAUAGAUCCAUUUUGUUGAAGAAGAGACCAAGGUCUUACGCCUUAGGUCAUUGUUUUGCUGGAGAAAAAUCCAAAUCGUGUGAAGAAGAACGGUGGACUAGUU
This 1157-nucleotide long non-coding RNA is filed under the name Nicotiana benthamiana. Its description in RNAcentral is "long non-coding RNA (NBEN_LNC006689)". The record is from RNAcentral. Lineage: Eukaryota; Viridiplantae; Streptophyta; Magnoliopsida; Solanales; Solanaceae.